RNAcentral lists this long non-coding RNA (502 nucleotides) under Ursus maritimus (polar bear). Its description in RNAcentral is "lncRNA (ENSUMAG00000011986.1)". Lineage: Eukaryota; Metazoa; Chordata; Mammalia; Carnivora; Ursidae. The record is from RNAcentral.
AUGGUGACUGUGCUGGGUGCCCAGCGGGGGGGCUGUUUGACAGUAACCGCAGGGCUGAUGGGAGCACCUGAGAGGAGCGGCUUCGUGGGAAGUGUUGGGACUAGGCCCUGGGUGUGUGGGAGCUCACGCUGCCAUGAGGACUGUUUUCGCCCAGAGGGCUUCAGUGCUUUGGGUCUGACGUGGAAAGCCCUGGUUGCGGCCGUGUCUCCGGGAGGGGACGGCACGCAGGCUCACUCUUGUUCACUGAGCUUAGCGUGAAUCCUUGCCCUUUCUUCUGAAGUUCUGUUUCCUUUUCGUGGCUCAGAGAAGCCCAGUGAGGUUAAAGUCCAAACCUUGAUUUUAUUGAUGGAGUGAUGAUUGUUCUAUGGAUCUUGAAGGGCUCCGGGAGCAUCCUGUCCUCCACACAGCCACUGGGGGCAACAUCGAGUUCUGGGGGGGGGCAUAUGAUGAUAGUAAUGGUAAUAAUAAUAAAGUAAUGAGCAUGUACUGUCCCGGGAAUUGU